This 455-nucleotide ribosomal RNA is filed under the name uncultured bacterium. Its description in RNAcentral is "bacterial SSU rRNA". It matches the Rfam family "Bacterial small subunit ribosomal RNA", at positions 1 to 507 of the family's 1533-position model. The record is from RNAcentral.
GACGAGUUUGAUCAUGGCUCAGAACGAACGCUGGCGGCAUGCCUAACACAUGCAAGUCGAACGAACCCUUCGGGGUUAGUGGCGCACGGGUGCGUAACGCGUGGGGAUCUGCCCAAAGGUUCGGAAUAACUCAGAGAAAUUUGAGCUAAUACCGGAUAAUGUCUUCGGACCAAAGAUUUAUUGCCUUUGGAUGAACCCGCGUAGGAUUAGCUUGUUGGUGGGGUAAAGGCCUACCAAGGCGACGAUCCUUAGCUGGUCUGAGAGGAUGAUCAGCCACACUGGGACUGAGACACGGCCCAGACUCCUACGGGAGGCAGCAGUGGGGAAUAUUGGACAAUGGGCGAAAGCCUGAUCCAGCAAUGCCGCGUGAGUGAUGAAGGCCUUAGGGUUGUAAAGCUCUUUUACCAGGGAUGAUAAUGACAGUACCUGGAGAAUAAGCUCCGGCUAACUCCGUG